This 66-nucleotide transfer RNA is filed under the name Cicadella viridis. RNAcentral's name for it is "tRNA-Ser". The record is from RNAcentral. Lineage: Eukaryota; Metazoa; Arthropoda; Insecta; Hemiptera; Cicadellidae.
AAGAGAACAAGAUUAGAGAUAGCUUCUAACUAAUUUCUAAAGCGGUUAAAUUCCGUUUAUCUCUUA